GUCACCCAGGUUGCAAUGGAGCAACCCAACAGUUGGACAUGGUAUAUAGAAUUUACACUAAAAAUUGAAGUAUCUAACAUGAUGCAUCACUCUUGUGCAGGUACCUAGGUAUCAUAGCUCUGCCUUUACAAAUGCCUUCAGCACUAGUACUCUUUCAUUCAUUUAUUUAUUUUUUGAUUUGUAAAGAUUCUAGUAAUUUUUUUUUUAUAUAAAAAGGGUUGACUUCAUACAAGAGGAUUAGAAAGCUCUUUACAAAAUAUACAACCUAUGCAUCAAUGGUUGAAUCAUGUAUAACUUUGUGCAUUCCAUUGCCUUUUUGGUUAAACACAUUCAUGCUGAUAGAAGGGCCUGAAUUUUUAGUUUUCUGUUGGUUGGAAAGUUUUUCUAUGGCUUGCUCAGAAUGAUGUAUGGUUACUGGCUGUACAUGUUGCAUACAUGAUACAUACUUGUAGUCUGAGUUUUACAGUACAGAUAUAAUACAAUACAACACUUUAACUUUCUCAAAAAAAAAGAGUCUCUUAAAGUGAAGCCAUUGAACUCCUUAAGAAUUCAUAUGCAAAAGAGGAUGUCCCUCUCAAAUCUUCCCUUUCAACUGAUCCUCUCAAACUUGCUUUCCUUAAAGCCCCACCCCCUUCCUUUCGUUCCAAAUGGACCAACAAAUGGUAAAAUGAACAAUAUUGCACAAAAUACGACCCCUAGUACAAAAUAAUCCUGUUUUAAGCCAAACUUGAAUUAGAUGCAAAAUCCUGUUGCCCCUGUCUCUUUGGAUAACAGGGGCAUUACAAUAAAAGAUGCAGGAUAUAAUAUUCAUUAGAAUUACCAGGGUUGCGGAAGUUAUAUGCAGAUUUUUUCUUCUAGUUAUAAUGUAGAAGCAUGACGGCUACAAUGUCACAACUGAUUCAGAAAACUAGUAUGGCCAUGGAAAGGUCAAGGGAGUUGGAGAGGUAAGGAAUUGGACUUAAGGUGUUUCAAGGCAUAUGCCUAGAAAAUAUGUUCGGAAUAAUUAUAAAUAUAAUAUAUAUAAAAAUACAAAACAUUAAAACAUGAUUUAGUUGAUUUCUUAGUGUAACCCCAUAUAGUUGGUAGAAUAGUAUAUCCUUGAAAGAUUUUUUAAACUUGAAAAAUAGUAAUAUCAAAGAAAAUAAUAUAAACAAACACCUUUUAGAUCUGUAAAAAAGCAAUCAUAUUGCAUAAUCCAAACUCCAAAAUACUCAAAUUGUAUCAAUCAUAUUUGUAAACCAACCAUGCCCAUGUCCGUACUAUUUAGAUGGCAGAGAGAUAAUGCCCAUUUGAACAUCCAAUUACAAUUCAAAACUCAAACAACAACAUACACAAUUUGAUUCAAUUCAUCCCUAGCCCCCAGCCCUUGGUCAUUUAUUUACUUGAGCCAAAAGCUUUCCACAUAGCCAACCAAAGCAGAGAACAUGUACACUUUAAAGGCAAGACAAUUUUCCUGCAAGUAAUUCUGGGACUUUGAAAGUUUCGACUACACUACCCAUUUCUGCUGAAUGUAAGAGUUUUAAAGUACUUCAAUAGAUCUUUUAAGGGAUUCCUAAACUUGCGGAUUCUGCUUCAAUUUCAGCUAGGACCAAAAUAGAUGCCAUGAGCAGAAUGUAAAACCAUACUGCUAAUGAUAUUUUAUAAUAUCCAGACUCGAUGAUGGAAGAAACUUUAAGGUAUAUUUUCUUAGUCCAGCAUGGCAAGAAAAGAAUAUCCUUAAGCCUAGUUCCUGUGAUGAACCUAGUUGCAAAAUCCUCAUGCAAGCUUUCUUUUAUAAACAGAAAAAGACUUGUUUGAACUCAUCCCCGCCCCUAUGUUGUAACCGACUACAACAGUAAUGUAAGUAAAAACAAAAACUCCAAUACUAUGUAUGAUAGAGGAUUGAAGAUUUGAAGCAGGAGGCAAAAAGCUAUGAUAUAUCUGAUAUAGAAUUAUCAGAAAAAUAAUAAAUUGAACCAUCUGCUUAAAAACAGGAAAUGAUAGGAGAACUAAGAGGUCUAAUCCUGUAUAAAACCCAAUAUGAAGAGAUGAAGCACCAAAUGCAGAUGUAGUUGAAAAUGCAAAAAAAAAAAAAAGAAAAAACAACAACAAUGGAGACCUAUAAGAGAUCAGAUUUCACUAAAAUAGUCUCAAUUAUUGUCCAUAAACCUGGUCUUAUUGAAACACAUAAAAGAUUGGAAUUAGAAAAUAGUCUCAAUUCAUUUUAGAGAGAAGUUGAAAGGAGUAGAGCCCCCCUGUUGUUCACUUGGAAGAAGCAGAAGAAAUAAUAAUCUGGCACUAAUUUGUAGUAACCCUUUGUUCUCCAUGGAUGCUUUCUUCUCUGCCAAAUUUCUCUUCUCCCCACUCUCCACUCCUGUGCAGAAGCAAGAAACCCAUGGUUGAAUGAAGAACUUAUUUGUUAAGUGCACUUACCCUUGUUCGUUUACUAAGAGGCCAUUUACCCGGGUAAGUGCACUUACCCAUGUUCUUUUUUGUUAAUUUACCCAGGUAAAUGAGGCUCUCAACUUUCCCAUGUUUUUUUGCCUCACCUACUUUCCCGGGAAUAGCAACCAGGAUUAAAAGUAUCGAUACAUAUUGUACUGUUUCAUAUGAUACAUAUAGGGCCCGUUUGGCAAGUCUUUUUGAGAAGAUAUUCUUGUAGCUUUGACAGUUAAAAGACGUAUUGAGCUUUUGACGUAAGAUCUGGGCAGCCCGAAGACCGUUUGGCAGAUGUGCGUCGUUCUGCGUCUUUUCGUGCGAGAUUAAAACGCGAAAGACCCUAGAAGCUUCAUUUGGAGCUUCUCGAAAUCAGCCCAAAAUGGGCUUCUCGUGUCUUUUCGGCGUCCCGUCUUUUGGUGGUUAGAUCUUUCACGUGCUAAACGGAAAUAGACCGAUUUUCAGUCUUCCCAGCUUGUAAACAGUCGAAGGACCGUGCGAAAAGACGCACCAAACGGGCCCAUAGUUUUCAGGGUGAGCAAUACAUGAAAUACUGCGAAUUUGGGAGAAUUAAGAUAUUCAGAGCUUUAUAUUCAUUAAGAAGAAUGAAGAUUUCAAAUCUUGUUCUGAAAUAGUGCCGUUUUCAUAGAGCAUUGCUGUUCAGAAUCAGGUGCGGUGCAAAUACUCGUGUGGGGCCUUGUGGCUGACAGGUUCCCCCUUUUAACAACAGCUUCCCCCUUUUAUCAGAUUCAAUCUUUUGCUUCUAACUGGUUAAUGAAAUUAUGAUCUGAAAAAGCUGAUUGAUUAGGUAAUCAAAAAGCAUGGAUCAUUCGUAAAGGAUAAACCUAUGAGUGUCAGAUCAUUCUCCAUCUUAAAUAUAUUUGAAAUUGAAGUUGGUCUCUUA
Nelumbo nucifera (sacred lotus) is the source of this 3319-nucleotide non-coding RNA. The record is from RefSeq and is a predicted model, not a curated record. NCBI's taxonomy places the organism in Eukaryota, Viridiplantae, Streptophyta, Magnoliopsida, Proteales, Nelumbonaceae.